Molecule: small RNA, 335 nt
Filed under: uncultured bacterium
Lineage: Bacteria
Description: bacterial SSU rRNA
Rfam family: Bacterial small subunit ribosomal RNA
Source: RNAcentral
ACGCUGGCUCCGUGACUAAUACAUGCAAGUCGAGCGAACUUGCGGGAGCUUGCUCCCAAAAGUUAGCGGCGGACGGGUGAGUAACACGUGGGCAACCUGCCUAUAAGACUGGGAUAACUUCGGGAAACCGGAGCUAAUACCGGAUAAUUCUUUUCUACUCAUGUAGAAAAGCUAAAAGACGGCUUACGCUGUCACUUAUAGAUGGGCCCGCGGCGCAUUAGCUAGUUGGUGGGGUAAUGGCCCACCAAGGCGACGAUGGGUAGCCGAGCUGAGAGGCUGACCGGCCGCACUGGGACUGAGACACGGCCCAGACUCCUACGGGAGGCAGCAGUGGG